This 484-nucleotide ribosomal RNA is filed under the name uncultured bacterium. Its description in RNAcentral is "partial 16S ribosomal RNA". It matches the Rfam family "Bacterial small subunit ribosomal RNA", at positions 30 to 507 of the family's 1533-position model. The record is from RNAcentral.
AUUGAACGCUGGCGGCAGGCCUAACACAUGCAAGUCGAGCGGAUGAAGGGAGCUUGCUCCUGGAUUCAGCGGCGGACGGGUGAGUAAUGCCUAGGAAUCUGCCUGGUAGUGGGGGAUAACGUCCGGAAACGGGCGCUAAUACCGCAUACGUCCUGAGGGAGAAAGUGGGGGAUCUUCGGACCUCACGCUAUCAGAUGAGCCUAGGUCGGAUUAGCUAGUUGGUGGGGUAAAGGCCUACCAAGGCGACGAUCCGUAACUGGUCUGAGAGGAUGAUCAGUCAAACCGGAACUUAGGAACGGUCCAGACUCCUACGGGAGGCAGCAGUGGGGAAUAUUGGACAAUGGGCGAAAGCCUGAUCCAGCCAUGCCGCGUGUGUGAAGAAGGUCUUCGGAUUGUAAAGCACUUUAAGUUGGGAGGAAGGGCAGUAAGUUAAUACCUUGCUGUUUUGACGUUACCAACAGAAUAAGCACCGGCUAACUUCGUG